UUGUAGUCGUGACGUGGGGCCUUCAGCUGAUGGCACGUGCCCGGCAGGGCGGCCUGGGCACGGAGACCUGCUUCUGGAUCGCAGCUCCGUCUGCUGCUCUGAACCUCCCUCCAGCAGGCGUCCCGGCCGUCGGUGACCACACCGCGUGCCCUCUUGCCCUGCACCAGGAAGCCCUGGCGCAGUGCUGGGCCUCUCCACCCACCUCUGCCCUCCAGGGUCCCUGCUCCCUCCCUCCCGCCUUGUUCUGUGCCUGCGCCCCGAAGGUGGAGCACAGACCUGGAGCACAGACUGCCUGCCCGUCUGCAUACCCAUCGCCGCUCUAGCUAAGGGCCGAAGCCCUGGAUCCUCCAGGGCAGAGCGCCGGGCCGCUGGGUCGCUGGGGCUGGGCGCAGCCCUGACGCUGUCUCAUCGUGUCUCAGAUGGCGGUUUCUGGGUGUGGCGUGAGGACCGCCGUGACAGGACAUGACUCGUUCCGAUGCUGCGUCAUUGUAGUCGUGACGUGGGGCCUUCAGCUGAUGGCACGUGCCCGGCAGGGCGGCCUGGGCACGGAGACCUGCUUCUGGAUCGCAGCUCCGUCUGCUGCUCUGAACCUCCCUCCAGCAGGCGUCCCGGCCGUCGGUGACCACACCGCGUGCCCUCUUGCCCUGCACCAGGAAGCCCUGACGCAGUGCUGGGCCUCUCCAGGCCCACCCUGACCCUCCAGGCACGUGGUCAGAGCUCCAGCCUCUGGACGGCCAGGCCAUCCGUGGGAGCUCUGGGGUCUCCUCCCGGUCAGGUGCUGGCCGUGCAGCCCAGUCUGUGCAGCGUGAGGCAGACACGGACGCCAGAGACCGCGCCCGCCGUGGGCCCUGGAACUUGCAUGCGGGUGCACACAUCCUGCUUCCUUUUCUUCAGGCGUUGCUGGAAGAAGCAAAGGAUGUGCUUUCUGACUGGCUGGAUUCCAUGCGGCAGUGAGGUGACGGACAAUUCUAUUUUCUCUGAACUGCCCAAAUUCUGGGAGGCGGAGUUCCACAAAGACAUGGAAGCCCUGAGCGUCCUCCCUCCGGACGUCCUGACCGGGUUAGUGAGUACGUGCCAGAGAUCGUGGACUUUGUCCAGAAGAUCGUGGACAACGGUUACGGGUGAGCUCAAGGCUCCAGGAAGGUGUGCCCAGGGGCGCGGGUCUCCGCUGGCUUGGAGAGGAGCAGGGAGGCGCAGGGAGCCGCCAGGGCGGUGGCGGCCCUGGGCUCCCGUCUCAGAGCUGCACGGCACGUGAGCAGUGGAAGGGCCACCACGCGGCUGCAGCGGUCCUGUGAGGGCACACCCUCGUCCCUCCCUGAGCCCCAGCUCCUCUUCUUAAAGGACACCAGUCUUGCUGCGUCAGGGCCCACCCUGGAGGCCUCGUUUUAACUCGAGCUCCUCUGUAAAAGCCCUUUUCCAAAUGCAGUCAGGCGGCGAGGUGCUGGGGUCAGGGCUGGCAGGCAGAGGCGAGGGCAGCAUGCAGGGCAGAGUCACCCGGGCAGGGGCAGGGCACAGGCCGGGCUGUUGGGGAGUCGGGGCCCCAUCCCAGCCACGCUCGUCACAGCCCGUUUGGCCCACUCGGUGGCCAUGUUGGAACAGCCUGCUGGCGGCCUGCUGCACAGGGUGCGGAGCAGACCCCUAUGGCCUCUGGGUCCCCAGGCCGGCCAGCCGGGCAGCUCGUCACGCCUUCC
Long non-coding RNA from Bos grunniens (domestic yak), 1691 nucleotides. The record is from Ensembl. Lineage: Eukaryota; Metazoa; Chordata; Mammalia; Artiodactyla; Bovidae.